UGGGGAAUAUUGCACAAUGGGCGAAAGCCUGAUGCAGCGACGCCGCGUGAGGGAUGACGGCCUUCGGGUUGUAAACCUCUUUCAGCAGGGAAGAAGCGAAAGUGACGGUACCUGCAGAAGAAGUGCCGGCUAACUACGUGCCAGCAGCCGCGGUAAUACGUAGGGCGCAAGCGUUGUCCGGAAUUAUUGGGCGUAAAGAGCUCGUAGGCGGUUAGUCGCGUCUGCUGUGAAAACUCGAGGCUCAACCUCGGGCUUGCAGUGGGUACGGGCUGACUAGAGUGCGGUAGGGGUGACUGGAAUUCCUGGUGUAGCGGUGGAAUGCGCAGAUAUCAGGAGGAACACCGAUGGCGAAGGCAGGUCACUGGGCCGCAACUGACGCUGAGGAGCGAAAGCAUGGGGAGCGAACAGGAUUAGAUACCCUGGUAGUCCAUGCCGUAAACGUUGGGCACUAGGUGUGGGGUCCAUUCCACGGAUUCCGUGCCGCAGCAAACGCAUUAAGUGCCCCGCCUGGGGAGUACGGCCGCAAGGCUAAAACUCAAAGGAAUUGACGGGGUCAAGCUGUUU
Molecule: ribosomal RNA, 564 nt
Filed under: uncultured bacterium
Lineage: Bacteria
Description: partial 16S ribosomal RNA
Rfam family: Bacterial small subunit ribosomal RNA
Source: RNAcentral